UACGUAGGGACCAAUCGUUGUUCGGAUUUACUGGGCGUAAAGGGCGCGUAGGCGGCAAUUCAAGUCAUCUGUGAAAUCUCCGGGCUUAACUCGGAACGGUCAGAUGAUACUGCUUUGCUAGAGUGCAGAAGGGGCAAUCGGAAUUCUUGGUGUAGCGGUGAAAUGCGUAGAUAUCAAGAGGAACACCUGAGGUGAAGACGGGUUGCUGGGCUGACACUGACGCUGAGGCGCGAAAGCCAGGGGAGCAAACGGG
RNAcentral lists this ribosomal RNA (253 nucleotides) under uncultured bacterium. RNAcentral describes it as "partial 16S ribosomal RNA". It matches the Rfam family "Bacterial small subunit ribosomal RNA", at positions 524 to 776 of the family's 1533-position model. The record is from RNAcentral.